UACGGGGGGGGGCAAGCGUUGUUCGGAAUUACUGGGCGUAAAGGGCUCGUAGGCGGGCAGGUAAGUCCGUGGUGAAAUCUCUGAGCUUAACUCAGAAACUGCCAUGGAUACUAUUUGUCUUGAAUAUUGUGGAGGUAAGCGGAAUAUGUCAUGUAGCGGUGAAAUGCUUAGAUAUGACAUAGAACACCAAUUGCGAAGGCAGCUUACUACACAGUUAUUGACGCUGAGGCACGAAAGCGUGGGGAUCAAACAGG
RNAcentral lists this ribosomal RNA (254 nucleotides) under uncultured bacterium. Its description in RNAcentral is "partial 16S ribosomal RNA". It matches the Rfam family "Bacterial small subunit ribosomal RNA", at positions 524 to 776 of the family's 1533-position model. The record is from RNAcentral.